This 465-nucleotide ribosomal RNA is filed under the name uncultured bacterium. Its description in RNAcentral is "partial 16S ribosomal RNA". It matches the Rfam family "Bacterial small subunit ribosomal RNA", at positions 28 to 507 of the family's 1533-position model. The record is from RNAcentral.
GACGAACGCUGGCGGCGUGCUUAACACAUGCAAGUCGAACGGAAAGGCCCUGCUUGCUGGGUACUCGAGUGGCGAACGGGUGAGUAACACGUGGGUGAUCUGCCCUGUACUUCGGGAUAAGCCUGGGAAACUGGGUCUAUUACCGGAUAGGAGCCAUUUUUAGCGUGAUGGUUGGAAAGUUUUUUCGGUGUAGGAUGAGCUCGCGGCCUAUCAGCUUGUUGGUGGGGUAAUGGCCUACCAAGGCGGCGACGGGUAGCUGGCCUGGGAGGGUGGACGGCCACAUUGAGACUGAGGUACGGCCCAGACGCCUACGGGAGGCAGCAGUGGGGAAGAUUGCACAAUGGGCGCAAGCCUGAUGCAGCGAGGCCGCGUGGGGGAUGACGGCCUUCGGGUUGUAAACUCCUUUCGCUAGGGACGAAGCUUUUUGUGACGGUACCUAGAUAAGAAGCACCGGCUAACUACGUG